Molecule: ribosomal RNA, 253 nt
Filed under: uncultured bacterium
Lineage: Bacteria
Description: partial 16S ribosomal RNA
Rfam family: Bacterial small subunit ribosomal RNA
Source: RNAcentral
UACGGAGGGGGCAAGCGUUAUUCGGAAUCAUUGGGCGUAAAGGGCGCGUAGGCGGCCUUGCAAGUCAAAGGUGAAAUCCCUCGGCCUAACCGAGGAACCGCCUUUGAUACUGCACGGCUCGAGGCCGGGAGAGGGUAGCGGAAUUCCCAGUGUAGCGGUGAAAUGCGUAGAUAUUGGGAGGAACACCAGUGGCGAAGGCGGCUACCUGGACCGGUUCUGACGCUGAUGCGCGAAAGCGUGGGGAGCAAACAGG